AACGCUGGCGGCGUGCUUAACACAUGCAAGUCGAGCGAUGAAGCACCUUCGGGUGUGAAUUAGCGGCGAACGGGUGAGGAACACGUGAGAAAUCUGCCUUCAACUCUGGGAUAACUCCGUGAAAACGGGGCUAAUACCGGAUAUGAAACCUGCGGGCAUCCGCGGGUUUGGAAAGUUUUUCGGUUGAAGAUGAUCUCGCGGCCUAUCAGCCCCCUGGUGAGGUAAUGGCUCACCAAGGCGACGACGGGUAGCCGGCCUGAGAGGGCGACCGGCCACACUGGGACUGAGACACGGCCCAGACUCCUACGGGAGGCAGCAGUGGGGAAUAUUGGGCAAUGGAGGAAACUCUGACCCAGCGACGCCGCGUGCGGGAUGAAGGCCUUCGGGUUGUAAACCGCUUUCAGCAGGGAAGAAGCGAAAGUGACGGUACCUGCAGAAGAAGCACCGGCUAACUAUGUGCCAGCAGCCGCGGUAAUACAUAGGGUGCAAGCGUUGUCCGGAAUUAUUGGGCGUAAAGAGCUCGUAGGUGGUUCGUCACGUCGGAUGUGAAACUCUGGGGCUUAACCCCAGACCUGCAUUCGAUACGGGCGAGCUUGAGUAUGGUAGGGGAGUCUGGAAUCCUGGUGUAGCGGUGGAAUGCGCAGAUAUCAGGAGGAACACCAAUGGCGAAGGCAGGACUCUGGGCCAUUACUGACACUGAGGAGCGAAAGCGUGGGGAGCGAACAGGAUUAGAUACCCUGGUAGUCCACGCCGUAAACGGUGGGCACUAGUUGUGGGGACCUUCCACGGUCUUUGCGACGCAGCUAACCCAUUCAGUGCCCCGCCUGGGGAGUAC
This 835-nucleotide ribosomal RNA is filed under the name uncultured Actinomycetales bacterium. RNAcentral's name for it is "bacterial SSU rRNA". It matches the Rfam family "Bacterial small subunit ribosomal RNA", at positions 32 to 883 of the family's 1533-position model. Lineage: Bacteria; Bacillati; Actinomycetota; Actinomycetes; Actinomycetales. The record is from RNAcentral.